RNAcentral lists this ribosomal RNA (1069 nucleotides) under uncultured Enterobacteriaceae bacterium. RNAcentral's name for it is "bacterial SSU rRNA". It matches the Rfam family "Bacterial small subunit ribosomal RNA", at positions 336 to 1397 of the family's 1533-position model. The record is from RNAcentral. Lineage: Bacteria; Pseudomonadati; Pseudomonadota; Gammaproteobacteria; Enterobacterales; Enterobacteriaceae.
CUCCUACGGGAGGCAGCAGUAGGGAAUCUUCCGUAAUGGACGAAAGUCUGACCGAGCAACGCCGCGUGAAUGAAGAAGGCUUUCGGGUCGUAAAAUUCUGUUAUAAGGGAAGAAAAGUUAGAGUAGGAAAUGGCUCUAAAGUGACGGUACCUUAUGAGAAAGCCACGGCUAACUACGUGCCAGCAGCCGCGGUAAUACGUAGGUGGCAAGCGUUAUCCGGAAUUAUUGGGCGUAAAGAGCGCGCAGGUGGUUGAUWAAGUCUGAUGUGAAAGCCCACGGCUUAACCGUGGAGGGUCAUUGGAAACUGGUCAACUUGAGUGCAGAAGAGGGAAGUGGAAUUCCAUGUGUAGCGGUGAAAUGCGUAGAGAUAUGGAGGAACACCAGUGGCGAGGGCGGCCCCCUGGACAAAGACUGACGCUCAGGUGCGAAAGCGUGGGGAGCAAACAGGAUUAGAUACCCUGGUAGUCCACGCUGUAAACGAUGUCGACUUGGAGGUUGUGCCCUUGAGGCGUGGCUUCCGGAGCUAACGCGUUAAGUCGACCGCCUGGGGAGUACGGCCGCAAGGUUAAAACUCAAAUGAAUUGACGGGGGCCCGCACAAGCGGUGGGGCAUGUGGUUUAAUUCGAUGCAACGCGAAGAACCUUACCUACUCUUGACAUCCAGAGAAUUCGCUAGAGAUAGCUUAGUGCCUUCGGGAACUCUGAGACAGGUGCUGCAUGGCUGUCGUCAGCUCGUGUUGUGAAAUGUUGGGUUAAGUCCCGCAACGAGCGCAACCCUUAUCCUUUGUUGCCAGCGCGUAAUGGCGGGAACUCAAAGGAGACUGCCGGUGAUAAACCGGAGGAAGGUGGGGAUGACGUCAAGUCAUCAUGGCCCUUACGAGUAGGGCUACACACGUGCUACAAUGGCGUAUACAAAGAGAAGCGAACUCGCGAGAGCAAGCGGACCUCAUAAAGUACGUCGUAGUCCGGAUCGGAGUCUGCAACUCGACUCCGUGAAGUCGGAAUCGCUAGUAAUCGUAGAUCAGAAUGCUACGGUGAAUACGUUCCCGGGCCUAGUACACACCGCCCGU